This 495-nucleotide ribosomal RNA is filed under the name Triticum aestivum (bread wheat). Its description in RNAcentral is "partial small subunit ribosomal RNA". The record is from RNAcentral. Lineage: Eukaryota; Viridiplantae; Streptophyta; Magnoliopsida; Poales; Poaceae.
AUGAAUAGAUGGCCGGCGUUCUUAGAAGGACAAGCAGUCCUAAAUGUCGAUGCUUCGUUUAUAGAAGGUGAUUAUGCAGGGUCAUGUGGUGCGGUUAUCCGUGAUCACCGAGGAUCUUUCAUGUCUGCAUCCACAGCGAGAUUAGAACAUGUAGCUGAUGUUUGUACAGCAGGAGCGGCAACUUUGCUUGAAGGACUGAAGUUAGCAAGAGAUACAGGAUGCCAUAAUGUGGUGGUAAGAUCGGGUAAUAUCAUGGUGGUGGAUGCACUUAGACUCAAUGGAGGCUAUUCUAUGGUGGCAGCGCCAGAGUUUGAUGAAUGUCGUAGUUAUCUCCAAGAUUUUGGGAGGUUUACUAUUGAGCAUUGUAUUAGACAGUCAAACUAUGUAGCUCAUGAGCUGGCUAGACGGGGACAUGUCCAUAAUCCAUCUCGUUGGAUUGACGCCCCGUCUGAUUUCAUUGUAAAUCUAUUAGCAGACGAUGCAUUUAUCCUUUGA